RNAcentral lists this small RNA (30 nucleotides) under Bombyx mori (domestic silkworm). RNAcentral describes it as "ovarian small RNA-13193". Lineage: Eukaryota; Metazoa; Arthropoda; Insecta; Lepidoptera; Bombycidae. The record is from RNAcentral.
CAGCAGUUCAUUGACUGCGUACAGGCGGGC